Molecule: ribosomal RNA, 292 nt
Filed under: uncultured bacterium
Lineage: Bacteria
Description: partial 16S ribosomal RNA
Rfam family: Bacterial small subunit ribosomal RNA
Source: RNAcentral
GUGUCAGCCGCCGCGGUAAUACAGAGGUCCCAAGCGUUGUUCGGAUUCACUGGGCGUAAAGGGUGCGUAGGUGGCUGGGAAAGUUUGAUGUGAAAGCUCAGGGCUCAACCCUGAAAUGGCAUUGAAUACUACUUAGCUGGAGGUUUGGAGGGGGGACUGGAAUUCUCGGUGUAGCAGUGAAAUGCGUAGAUAUCGAGAGGAACACCAGUGGCGAAGGCGAGUCCCUGGACAACACCUGACACUGAGGCACGAAAGCUAGGGGAGCAAACAGGAUUAGAUACCCUGGUAGUCC